RNAcentral lists this transfer RNA (77 nucleotides) under Brachybacterium avium. RNAcentral's name for it is "tRNA-Met". It matches the Rfam family "tRNA". From Rfam's summary of the family: Transfer RNA (tRNA) molecules are approximately 80 nucleotides in length. Their secondary structure includes four short double-helical elements and three loops (D, anti-codon, and T loops). The record is from RNAcentral. Lineage: Bacteria; Bacillati; Actinomycetota; Actinomycetes; Micrococcales; Dermabacteraceae.
CGCUUCGUAGCUCAGCCCGGCAGAGCAGCUCCCCCAUAAGGAGUGGGUCGCAGGUUCGAAUCCUGCCGAAGCGUCCG